CCUACGGGUGGCAGCAGUGAGGAAUAUUGCUCAAUGGACGCAAGUCUGAACCAGCCAUGCCGCGUGCAGGAAGACGGCUCUAUGUGUUGUAAACUGCUUUUGUACGGGGGUAAACGCAGAUACGCGUAUCUGUCUGACAGUAUCGUACGAAUAAGGAUCGGCUAACUCCGUGCCAGUAGCCGCGGUAAUACGGAGGAUUCAAGCGUUAUCCGGAUUUAGUGGGUGUAAAGGGUGCGUAGGCGGUCGGAUAAGUUAGAGGUGAAAUCCCGAGGCUAAACUUCGGAAUUGCCUCUGAUACUGUUCGGCUAGAGAGUAGUUGCGGUAGGCGGAAUGCAUGGUGUAGCGGUGAAAUGCUUAGAGAUCAUACAGAACACCGAUUGCGAAGGCAGCUUACCAAGCUACUUCUGACGUUGAGGCACGAAAGCGUGGGGAGCAAACAGGAUUAGAUACCCCUGUAGUC
Molecule: ribosomal RNA, 460 nt
Filed under: uncultured bacterium
Lineage: Bacteria
Description: partial 16S ribosomal RNA
Rfam family: Bacterial small subunit ribosomal RNA
Source: RNAcentral